Molecule: ribosomal RNA, 339 nt
Filed under: Triticum aestivum (bread wheat)
Lineage: Eukaryota; Viridiplantae; Streptophyta; Magnoliopsida; Poales; Poaceae
Description: partial small subunit ribosomal RNA
Source: RNAcentral
AUGCAACUAAUGGCAUGGUUCUACGGGUCUCCUAACAAUGUACCAUACACGACAAAGGACAUCGCAAACCAGCGAGCUAAAUUCCGCAUGGAGUACCGCCACGCUGAUGUGGGAAGCACAGUCUCAUACUUCCAAGAUAUGAAGGCACAAGAUCCAGAUUUCUAUUGGAGAAUAAAACUUGAUGACGAGGACUGGGUGGAAAAUUUGUUCUGGAUAGAUGGUGCGUCGCACAGGGCAUAUGCUAGAUACAAUGAUGUCAUCUCAUUCGGCACAACAUACAUGGCAAACAUGUACAAGAUGCCCUGUGCGCCCUUCAUUGGCAUUAAUAACCAUGGGUAG